AGCCACGUGGGCUCAGCGGAAGGAGAGCCCACUUCCUAAAGGUGUUUGGGGCCUAUAUUCAACUACUGCAAGGCCUUGGGAGAGGAGAAUGAUAUUGGAGUGAAAGCAUAAACACAGGGCGGAAUUGUUGGGUUUCCUCUUUUUACUUGGAGACACUUCCUGCGAGGAUGGGGGCAGGCACGCUGGGCAUCUGCCAAAAUAAAGCAGCGGUUCAGCUGAGGGAAGAUAUGAAAAAGAUAGCGGCAGUGCCACUGAGUGAACAGCAGGAUCCUGCCUAUAAAAAGUUAUUUGGAGUCAGCCUCCAAGAGCUUCAGCAGCAGGGGCUCACUAAGGACGGGGUGCCCACCAUGGUGAGGAGCAUCAUGGAGUACUUGGUGCAGCAUGAAAAGAUAUUUCUGAAAUGCUAAACCACCCUUGGAAUGUAAGGGCUUCCAGGAGGGCCUGUUCCGGGUGGACGGCAGCGUGAAGGCGGUAGACAGGCUCCGGCGCGCGUGGGAGAGGGGCGCGUUCGUGGAGCUGGGUGCAGGUGACCUUCGAGCAGCAACCAGCCUGCUGAAGCGCUUCCUGCGCGAGCUGCCUGGAGGCCUGGUGCCCGCGGCACUGCGGCAGCGCCUGCUCCAGCUCUGUCCGGAUCAGCUCCUUUCAUCCCUGCUUUGUGGGAGGAACUCUGGAGCCACAAGUGAGUGACUUAUAGUGUAAUGGAGACCGAAGCGUCAUUAUGGGAGUUGCCUAAUAACGUGCCCAGCAUAUGAAGACCAGUUCCAAGGUGCCAUGAGACUGCAGGAAAGCAAACAGCUUCAGAAUUACACAGGAUGCAAUUUACUGGGGUCCCUUACUGACAGAAGCAUGUUUCUGGGCAGUAGAAGAAGUACAUGGUUCCAUGCAAUUUGGAUCAAAAGCAGGAACAUAUACAAGACACAAGAGAAAAAUAUGGUGCUGCCCUUUAAAAGAUCAUUACAACUGAAAACAUAGUGCCAUUAAUCCUUCUUAAAAUAUCCCCCUUCACUUUGAGCACAUUUAUCCCAUUGCUUUUGCCACUUUCUGAAGCAGUUCUGGAGUGAAGUGUCAUGAGUAUCUUUAGUUGCUCUGUUGUGGUUGGCUCCGUGUCCUGAAUCAGUUCAGAAUGUUUACCUUUCAUGGUCAUAUUGACUUUGGGGAAGAACCAGGAAUCGCACAGUGCCAGAUCCAGUUAGUAAGGUGAAUGGGUUCACACCACAAUGUUUUUAUGAGCCCGCCUUUCUGUUGGGUGGCAGUUGGCAGCAGCUUUCACUGUAUUUUUUUGUUGUUGUUAUACCCUGUGAAGACAUUCAUGAUGGAGGACUUCCAGAACUGCUUCAAAAAGUGCGUUUGACUUGAAGGG
Molecule: long non-coding RNA, 1360 nt
Organism: Chinchilla lanigera (long-tailed chinchilla)
Lineage: Eukaryota; Metazoa; Chordata; Mammalia; Rodentia; Chinchillidae
Exons: 6
Source: RefSeq, a predicted model, not a curated record